Molecule: ribosomal RNA, 540 nt
Filed under: uncultured eukaryote
Lineage: Eukaryota
Description: SSU rRNA
Rfam family: Eukaryotic small subunit ribosomal RNA
Source: RNAcentral
UGUAUUUAUUAGAUAAAAAACCAAUGCCCUUCGGGGCUUUUUGGUGAUUCAUGAUAACUUUACGGAUCGCAUAGCCUUGCGCUGGCGACGGUUCAUUCAAAUUUCUGCCCUAUCAACUUUCGAUGGUAAGGUAUUGGCUUACCAUGGUUUCAACGGGUAACGGGGAAUUAGGGUUCGAUUCCGGAGAGGGAGCCUGAGAAACGGCUACCACAUCCAAGGAAGGCAGCAGGCGCGCAAAUUACCCGAUCCCGACACGGGGAGGUAGUGACAAUAAAUACUGAUACAGGGCUCUUUUGGGUCUUGUAAUUGGAAUGAGUACAAUUUAAACCUCUUAACGAGGAACAAUUGGAGGGCAAGUCUGGUGCCAGCAGCCGCGGUAAUUCCAGCUCCAAUAGCGUAUAUUAAAGUUGUUGCAGUUAAAAAGCUCGUAGUUGAAACUUGGGCCUGGCUGGCGGGUCCGCCUCACCGCGUGCACUCGUCCGGCCGGGCCUUCCUUCUGAAGAACCUCAUGCCCUUCACUGGGCGUGCUGGGGAACCAGG